ACCCCGGUGGUGAAACGGACGAUCACGCGAGCCUCCGAAGCUCGAGGUCUGGGUUCGACUCCCGGCUGGGGUA
This 73-nucleotide transfer RNA is filed under the name Planctomycetota bacterium. RNAcentral describes it as "Planctomycetes bacterium tRNA-Arg". It matches the Rfam family "tRNA". Rfam says of the family: Transfer RNA (tRNA) molecules are approximately 80 nucleotides in length. Their secondary structure includes four short double-helical elements and three loops (D, anti-codon, and T loops). The record is from RNAcentral. RNAcentral also lists the same sequence under 1 other name. Lineage: Bacteria; Pseudomonadati; Planctomycetota.